AUUGAACGCUGGCGGCAGGCCUAACACAUGCAAGUCGAGCGGAUGAAGGGAGCUUGCUCCUGGAUUCAGCGGCGGACGGGUGAGUAAUGCCUAGGAAUCUGCCUGGUAGGGGGGGAUAACGUCCGGAAACGGGCGCUAAUACCGCAUACGUCCUGAGGGAGAAAGUGGGGGAUCUUCGGACCUCACGCUAUCAGAUGAGCCUAGGUCGGAUUAGCUAGUUGGUGUGGUAAGGGCCUACCAAGGCGACGAUCCGUAACUGGUCUGAGAGGAUGAUCAGUCACAUGGGAACUGAAACACGGUCCAGAGUACUACGGUAGGCAGCAGUGGGGUAUAUUGGGCAAUGGGGGAAAGCCUGAUCCAGUCAUGCCGCGUGUGUGAAGAAGGUCUUCGGAUUGUAAAGCACUUUAAGUUGGGAGGAAGGGCAGUAAGUUGAUACCUUGCUGUUUUGACGUUACCAACAGAAGAAGCACCGGCUAACUUCGUG
Molecule: ribosomal RNA, 484 nt
Filed under: uncultured bacterium
Lineage: Bacteria
Description: partial 16S ribosomal RNA
Rfam family: Bacterial small subunit ribosomal RNA
Source: RNAcentral